RNAcentral lists this ribosomal RNA (417 nucleotides) under uncultured bacterium. Its description in RNAcentral is "bacterial SSU rRNA". It matches the Rfam family "Bacterial small subunit ribosomal RNA", at positions 358 to 772 of the family's 1533-position model. The record is from RNAcentral.
GGAAUAUUGGACAAUGGGCGCAAGCCUGAUCCAGCCAUGCCGCGUGCAGGAUGACGGUCCUAUGGAAUAUAAACUGCUUUUAUACGAGAAGAAACAUCCCGACGUGUCGGGACUUUACGGUAUCGUAAGCAUAAGGCUCGGCCAACUCCGUGCCAGCAGCCGCGGUAAUACGGAGGAUCCAAGCGUUAUCCGGAACCAUUGGGUUUAAAGGGUCCGUAGGCGGUUUAGUAAGUCAGUGGUGAAAGCCCAUCGCUCAACGGUGGAACGGCCAUUGAUACUGCUAGACUUGAAUUAUUAGGAAGUAACUAGAAUAUGUAGUGUAGCGGUGAAAUACUUAGAGAUUACAUGGAAUACCAAUUGCGAAGGCAGGUUACUACUAAUAUAUUGACGCUGAUGGACGAAAGCGUGGGUAGCGAA